This 2006-nucleotide ribosomal RNA is filed under the name human gut metagenome. Its description in RNAcentral is "bacterial LSU rRNA". It matches the Rfam family "Bacterial large subunit ribosomal RNA", at positions 347 to 2474 of the family's 2925-position model. The record is from RNAcentral.
AAAGCUGACCGAAGAUGGUGAUAGUCCAGUAUAGGUAGAAAGCAAUUAAGUUCUUGAGUAGGGCGGAGCACGAGAAAUUCUGUCUGAAAAUGGGGAGACCACUCUCCAAGGCUAAGUACUACUGAGUGACCGAUAGUGAACAAGUACCGUGAGGGAAAGGUGAAAAGCACCCCUAUAAGGGGAGUGAAAAAGAACCUGAAACCGGAUGCCUACAAGCAGUCGGAGGAGCAUUAGGCUCUGACGGCGUACCUUUUGUAUAAUGGGUCAGCGACUUAAUUUAUGUAGCAAGCUUAAGCCGAUAGGUGUAGGCGCAGCGAAAGCGAGUGUUAAUAGCGCGUUAAGUUACAUGGAUUAGACCCGAAACCGAGUGAUCUAGCCAUGAUCAGGUUGAAGGUUGGGUAACACCAACUGGAGGACCGAACCCACUCCCGUUGAAAAGGUAGGGGAUGAAUUGUGGCUAGGGGUGAAAGGCCAAUCAAACUCGGAAAUAGCUGGUUCUCCGCGAAAACUAUUUAGGUAGUGCGGCAAGCGGACACGUUGAGGGGUAGAGCACUGAAAGAGCUAAGGGGGAGCGAUCCUUACUAAACUUUAUCAAACUCCGAAUACUCAACAGUGAUACUUGCCAGACAGACUGUAGGUGCUAAGGUCUACGGUCGAGAGGGAAAGAGCCCAGACCGCCAAUUAAGGUCCCAAAAUUAUGGCUAAGUGGUAAAGGAAGUGAAUUGUCCAAAACAGUCAGGAGGUUGGCUUAGAAGCAGCCAUCCUUUAAAGAAAGCGUAAUAGCUCACUGAUCUAAACAAGACGAUUUGCGCCGAAGAUGUAACGGGGCUAAAGCCAUAUACCGAAGUUGCGGAAUUGCACGUAAGUGCAAUUGGUAGCGGAGCGUUCUGUAAGCCUGCGAAGGUGUUCCGUAAGGAAUGCUGGAGGUAUCAGAAGUGAGAAUGCUGACAUGAGUAGCGAAAAGAAGUGUGAGAGACACUUCCGCUGAAAGUCCAAGGUUUCCUGCGUAAAGCUAAUCUGCGCAGGGUUAGUCGGCCCCUAAGGCGAGGCAGAGAUGCGUAGUCGAUGGGAAUCAGGUUAAUAUUCCUGAACCAACUAGGAAGUGACGGAUUCAGUAAAUUGUAUGUCCUUAUUGGAUUGGAUGUGCAGUGAAUGAGUCCCGGGAAAUAGCCCUAGUAUAGACCGUACCCGAAACCGACACAGGUGGACAGGUAGAGAAUACCAAAGCGCUUGAGAGAACUAUGUUGAAGGAACUAGGCAAAAUACUUGCGUAACUUCGGGAUAAGCAAGCCCCAUUUCUGGGCAACCAGAGGUGGGGGGCACAUACUAGGGGGUAGCGACUGUUUACUAAAAACACAGGGCUCUGCUAAAUUGAAAGAUGAAGUAUAGGGUCUGACGCCUGCCCGGUGCUGGAAGGUUAAGGAGAGAUGUGCAAGCAUUGAACUGAAGCCCCAGUAAACGGCGGCCGUAACUAUAACGGUCCUAAGGUAGCGAAAUUCCUUGUCGGGUAAGUUCCGACCUGCACGAAUGGCGUAACGACUUCCCCGCUGUCUCCAACAUAGACUCAGCGAAAUUGAAUUCUGAGUUAAGAUGCUCAGUACCCGCGGUUAGACGGGAAGACCCCGUGAACCUUUACUAUAGCUUUGCAGUGGUAUUAGGUGACAAAUGUGUAGGAUAGGUGGGAUGCUAUGAAGUUAUGACGCUAGUUGUAAUGGAGCAGACGUUGAAAUACCACCCUUUUGUUAUUUGAUAUCUAACCUGCUUCCGUUAUCCGGAAGAGGGACCCUGCAUGGUGGGUAGUUUGACUGGGGCGGUCGCCUCCCAAAGAGUAACGGAGGCGCGCAAAGGUUGGCUCAGAUUGGUCGGAAAUCAAUCGUUGAGUGCAAUGGCAUAAGCCAGCCUGACUGCGAGAGCGACAGUUCGAGCAGAGACGAAAGUCGGUCAUAGUGAUCCGGUGGUCCCGAGUGGAAGGGCCAUCGCUCAACGGAUAAAAGGUACUCCGGGGA